RNAcentral lists this ribosomal RNA (495 nucleotides) under uncultured soil bacterium. RNAcentral describes it as "bacterial SSU rRNA". It matches the Rfam family "Bacterial small subunit ribosomal RNA", at positions 26 to 507 of the family's 1533-position model. The record is from RNAcentral.
AGGACGAACGCUGGCGGCGUGCUUAACACAUGCAAGUCGAACGGUGAUCCGAGAGCUUGCUCUCUUUGAGGGCUUGUUCUUGGUGAUCAGUGGCGAACGGGUGAGUAACACGUGAGUAACCUGCCCUCCACUCUGGGAUAACUCCGGGAAACCGGGGCUAAUACUGGAUAUGACGUCCGCCCGCAUGGGCGGAUGUGGAAAGUUUUUCGGUGGGGGAUGGACUCGCGGCCUAUCAGCUUGUUGGUGAGGUAGUGGCUCACCAAGGGCGACGACGGGUAGCCGGCCUGAGAGGGCACCGGGCCAACGACUGGGACUGGAGACACGGCCCAGACUCCUACGGGAGCAGCAGUGGGGAAUAUUGCACAAUGGGCGCAAGGCCUGAUGCAGCGACGCGCGUGAGGAUGACGGCCGUUCGGUGUAACCUCUUUCACCAGGAAGAACGCGCCCAGGUUUUCUGGCGUGACGUCUGGAGAAGAGCACCGGCUAACGUACGUG